RNAcentral lists this ribosomal RNA (96 nucleotides) under Sphingobacterium multivorum. The record is from RNAcentral. Lineage: Bacteria; Pseudomonadati; Bacteroidota; Sphingobacteriia; Sphingobacteriales; Sphingobacteriaceae. RNAcentral also lists the same sequence under 1 other name.
CGGUGUCUACCUCUUCCCAUUCCGAACAGAGCAGUCAAGCCCGCCAGAGCCGAUGGUAUUGCCGUAACAGGUGGGAGAGUAGGUCGGUGCCUUUUU